Molecule: long non-coding RNA, 325 nt
Filed under: Physcomitrium patens
Lineage: Eukaryota; Viridiplantae; Streptophyta; Bryopsida; Funariales; Funariaceae
Description: long non-coding RNA (PPAT_LNC011098)
Source: RNAcentral
AUGUUCUUCAAGAAUCUUGGAAUAGAUUAAGAUAUUAUUAUGAUAAUAAAUAAUAAAAUUAUUUAAGAAUUCUUAAAAAAUAUUAUUCAUGAAAUGCUUCAAUAUAACUAGAGCUGUUAUCAAUCUAGAAGGCAUGAAAUUAUAUUCAAAAUAUCCAUAUCUUGUCUAAAAAAAGUUAUAUAUUUCUCAUUUUGUUCUGGGUUUUAAACCUUAAGUUGCGAGUUUAAUCAACUAGAUGGAACCAAAUCUUCUGAUACAUUUUUUCCAUAAGCCCAUGUAAUCCAUUGACCAAAGCAUCAUUCUAUUUGAUCUACAUCACCACCCC